GAGAGUGUAGCUCAGUGGUAGGGCAUGUGGUUAGCGUGCAUGAGGUCCUGGAUUCAAUCCCCAGUACCUCCA
RNAcentral lists this transfer RNA (72 nucleotides) under Camelus bactrianus (Bactrian camel). It matches the Rfam family "tRNA". From Rfam's summary of the family: Transfer RNA (tRNA) molecules are approximately 80 nucleotides in length. Their secondary structure includes four short double-helical elements and three loops (D, anti-codon, and T loops). Lineage: Eukaryota; Metazoa; Chordata; Mammalia; Artiodactyla; Camelidae. RNAcentral also lists the same sequence under 3 other names. The record is from Rfam by way of RNAcentral.